Molecule: ribosomal RNA, 253 nt
Filed under: uncultured bacterium
Lineage: Bacteria
Description: partial 16S ribosomal RNA
Rfam family: Bacterial small subunit ribosomal RNA
Source: RNAcentral
UACAGAGGUCCCAAGCGUUGUUCGGAAUUACUGGGCGUAAAGGGCGCGUAGGCGGCCUUCUAAGUCAGACGUGAAAUCCCUCGGCUCAACCGGGGAACUGCGUCUGAGACUGGAAGGCUUGAAUCCGGGAGAGGGAUGUGGAAUUCCAGGUGUAGCGGUGAAAUGCGCAGAUAUCUUGAGGAACACCGGUGGCGAAGGCGGGUCUCUGGGCCGAUACUGACGCUGAGGAGCGAAAGCGUGGGGAGCGAACAGG